This 491-nucleotide ribosomal RNA is filed under the name uncultured bacterium. Its description in RNAcentral is "bacterial SSU rRNA". It matches the Rfam family "Bacterial small subunit ribosomal RNA", at positions 501 to 989 of the family's 1533-position model. The record is from RNAcentral.
CUACGUGCCAGCAGCCGCGGUAAUACGUAGGGUGCGAGCGUUGUCCGGAAUUAUUGGGCGUAAAGAGCUUGUAGGCGGUUUGUCGCGUCUGCUGUGAAAGGCCGGGGCUUAACCCCGUGUAUUGCAGUGGGUACGGGCAGACUAGAGUGCAGUAGGGGAGACUGGAAUUCCUGGUGUAGCGGUGGAAUGCGCAGAUAUCAGGAGGAACACCGAUGGCGAAGGCAGGUCUCUGGGCUGUAACUGACGCUGAGAAGCGAAAGCAUGGGGAGCGAACAGGAUUAGAUACCCUGGUAGUCCACGCUGUAAACGUUGGGCACUAGGUGUGGGGGCCACCCGUGGUUUCUGCGCCGUAGCUAACGCUUUAAGUGCCCCGCCUGGGGAGUACGGCCGCAAGGCUAAAACUCAAAGGAAUUGACGGGGGCCCGCACAAGCGGCGGAGCAUGCGGAUUAAUUCGAUGCAACGCGAAGAACCUUACCAAGGCUUGACAUGC